RNAcentral lists this ribosomal RNA (206 nucleotides) under uncultured bacterium. RNAcentral describes it as "partial 16S ribosomal RNA". It matches the Rfam family "Bacterial small subunit ribosomal RNA", at positions 1295 to 1500 of the family's 1533-position model. The record is from RNAcentral.
AGAUUGCAGGCUGCAACCCGCCUGCAUGAAGUCGGAAAUUGCUAGUAAUCGCGGAUCAGCAUGCCGCGGUGAAUACGUUCCCGGGCCUUGUACACACCGCCCGCCACACCAUGGGAGCCGGUAAUACCCGAAGUCAGUAGUCCAACCACGUGAGGACGCUGCCGAAGGUAGGAUUGGCGACUGGGGUGAAGUCGUAACAAGGUAGC